This 555-nucleotide ribosomal RNA is filed under the name marine metagenome. RNAcentral's name for it is "bacterial SSU rRNA". It matches the Rfam family "Archaeal small subunit ribosomal RNA", at positions 611 to 1163 of the family's 1478-position model. The record is from RNAcentral.
GACGGUACUCCACGGGUAGGGGUAAAAUCCUCUGAACCGUGGAAGACCACCAGUGGCGAAGGCGGUCCACCAGAACGCGCUCGACGGUGAGGGAUGAAAGCUGGGGUAGCGAACCGGAUUAGAUACCCGGGUAGUCCCAGCUGUAAACGAUGCAAGCUAGGUGAUGCAUUAGCCACGUGUUAAUGCAGUGCCGCAGGGAAGCCGUUAAGCUUGCCGCCUGGGGAGUACGGUCGCAAGGCUGAAACUUAAAGGAAUUGGCGGGGGAGCACCACAAGGGGUGAAGCCUGCGGUUCAAUUGGAGUCAACGCCGGGAACCUUACCAGGAGAGACAGCAGAGUGAAGGUCAAGCUGAAGACUUUACCAGACAAGCUGAGAGGAGGCGCAUGGCCGUCGACAGCUCGUGCCGUGAGGCGUCCUGUUAAGUCAGGCAACGAGCGAGACCCUUGCCAUUAAUUGCUUCCAUUGAUCGAAAGGUUGGCGGAGCUAGUUAAUGGGACUGCCGUUGAUAAAACGGAGGAAGGAAGGGGCCACGGCAGGUCAGUAUGCCCCGAAACU